CCUACGGGAGGCUGCAGUGAGGAAUAUUGGUCAAUGGGCGCAAGCCUGAACCAGCCAAGUCGCGUGAAGGACGACUGCCCUACGGGUUGUAAACCUCUUUUAUAAAGGAAUAAAGUAAGAUACGUGUACCAUUAUGCCUGUACUUUAUGAAUAAGGAUCGGCUAACUCCGUGCCAGCAGCCGCGGUAAUACGGAGGAUGCGAGCGUUAUCCGGAUUUGUUGGGUUUAAAGGGGGCGUAGAUGGGUUGUUAUGUGAGUGGUGAAAGUUUGCGGCUCAACCGUAAGAUUGCAAAUGAUACUGGCAAUCUUGAGUACAGGUGGGGUAAGCCGAAUUCGUGGUGUAACAGUUGAA
RNAcentral lists this ribosomal RNA (351 nucleotides) under uncultured bacterium. RNAcentral's name for it is "partial 16S ribosomal RNA". It matches the Rfam family "Bacterial small subunit ribosomal RNA", at positions 338 to 686 of the family's 1533-position model. The record is from RNAcentral.